Molecule: long non-coding RNA, 1322 nt
Filed under: Ananas comosus (pineapple)
Lineage: Eukaryota; Viridiplantae; Streptophyta; Magnoliopsida; Poales; Bromeliaceae
Description: long non-coding RNA (ACOM_LNC038247)
Source: RNAcentral
CUUCCUAUAUUAAUUUGUAAUUGUAAUAAUACAAAAGCGUAUAGAACUUACCAGAGCUAUAAACCAUUUUCAAUAUACUUUUCGCUUUGCAAAUAUUUGAUUAUGUUAUCCACUCUUCCAAAUUGUUUGAUUCAAAUCAAACCUUUAAUAAAUUUAUAGUUGCAAUAAAUUAUAUAAAACAUACUAACUAAAUUUGACAAGAUAAACGAUACAAUCAAAUUUUAAAGUUAAAAAUAUUAUUAACUAAUUUAAAUUAAAUAAGUUGAUAGAUUGAAUAGUAAAAUUAAAAUCUGAAAAAAUUGCAUAGUCAGAUUCAAAACUUUGUUUUACCACAACAUGGAAAAAGGACUGCAUGUGAUAGACAAUGUAUGCAUUAUUAUGACCAAAAAGAUAAAUCCAAGCCAAUAAUAUUAAAAAUAAAGCUUGUGGGCUCCUUGUAGACAUUUUAUGCGUGUUAGUAUCUCUCUCUCUCUCUCUCUCUCUCUCCUUAUCUUUUGGAUUUCUUUUUGACCAAUUUGCAUAAAAAAUUCAUAAAUUUUAAGCUUUUGCAAAACAGGGUCAUCUUUUUCAAUUUUGCAGAUUCGGACCAAAUUUUUCGCCAUCGGACGAAAAUACCUUUAUUCCUUUUCUUUGUCUCUCUUCUUUUUUUCUUUCUCUCUCUUUUUUUCCUUCAUUAUUUUCUUCUCGAGGACGCGCUCCAGAUCGCCCUCCCCAUCGCGGAUGAGUUCCGUCACCUGCUCCUCCGCGACGCCCUCCCCAUCGCCUCCUCCUUCGCGGCCCUCAGCGAUGGUAAUGAGGGUGGCGCUGCUUCUUCUUCCUCCAUCUCCUCCUCCGUCGGCACUGGCAGUCCUCAGUGAUGGUAACGAGGGCGACGCCGCCUCCUUUUCCUCUUCUCCGCCUUCGCCUUCGGAAAGUAAAAAAAAUAAAGAAAAAAAUUGUCUCGUUGAAAAACUAUUAUAUAUCGUUACUAUUAUCAGACAAGGCAAAAAAUCAUAGAAAAAGGAAGAAGAAGAUGAAAGUUGCACUGUUAAAAUUAAAUUGCACAAUUUUUAAAAAAAAUUGCACUAUUUAAGGUGAAUGUUACACUCUUUAAAAUAAAAAUUAGCCUCUUUGAAACAAAAAUUGCACCAUUUCAUCCAAACUUGCAUCAUUUCACCAAAUUUUACACAAUUUCGCCCAAAAUAGCACCAUUUCUCCUUCUCCUCCUCUUCCAUUACACCAUUACACCAUUACAACAAAAAUCUCCUAAAAACCGAGCCGGAUUCGCCUACACCGCUAACUCGCCCCAUCCUUCCUCUGCCGCCUUCGCCACUCCCGUUCGA